ACAGUCCAAAAUUUGAAACAAAUGGACAUGACUUUUAGACAUAGAAUGGACACUAUAAAGACUAAGGCUAUAUGAUGUCCUUGCUAUGUCUAGUCUUAAAUAUGUCUCUUGGCUCGUCAGGGCUGUUGUGAGCGUGGUGUGCCAAAGCUAAGUACCCUUCUAUUUUCUUUCUACUCAUUGUCAAGUUAUAGACAUUCCUCUACCACCACCUAUAGUAUCAACUUCAACCAAAGAAACGGAUAGUUGGAGUUUGCACACAUGAGUCCAAGUGUUGUCAAGUUUCCUUCAAUUUUAUUUAAAUAACUUCAAUCUUAAUGGGGCUUAAAAUUAUUUAAACAUGCUGUCAUAUGAACUGGCACCAAUUUUCCCCCAUAAAUGUUAAAAGAAACACGCAUCUUACCACAGCCACCUCCCUGCCCUUUCUCUGCCUUAAACUCUGAUUUCAAGUGAAUUCCCUCUCUGCCAUUCCUUUUCUGUCUAUUGAAAUUGAAGUGCCGCUUAUAAUGUCAAUGUUUGAGGAUGUUUUUUUGACUGUGUCUUUUUCAUGUUCUGUUCAUAAUUUUGCCCUCCCCCUGUGCUGUUCUGCUACCUUGUUUCUUAAAGUGUUUGAUUGCUCAUGGUUCUGCUGCAAUUUGUACGUGCUAUAAUACUUGUAUAUGUUUCUCGUGUGCUGUGUUCUGCCCUCGCCCUGCACUGUUCUGCUACCUUGUUUCUUAAAGUGUUUGAUUGUUCAUGGUUUUGCUGCAGUUUGUGCCUGUACUUUUAUAUGUGUGAAUUUCUCUUGUGUUUAUGAGUGUUCUUGUGCCUUUUGUGUUCUGGUAUGUCCUUAUGCUGCUUACUAAGUGAAUCUGACAUUUUUAUUGCAUUGUUUUAUUGAAUGACUUGCUCUGUUGUCACUUUGAAUUUUGAAGUGGUAUUUUUGUCUCUCUGUCUUGUGGAUUUUUUGUGGUUUAGUUUGUUUAAUUUGUGUGUGUGUGACAUGAUCUCUGUACUGCCCCCUCCCCCCUCCCUUUUCCCUUGAUCUUUCCCAAAAGUUCCUUGUUUUACACUCCUGUUAGGCAAACCUCUGUUAAAUAAGCCAGUCAACUCCAAUAUUCUGUAAGAAAAAACUUGUCAAAGGUUUUCAUUGCACUUUGGUGUCUACUGUGCUCUCUCAAACUAUCCACAACUAUAGGAGGUGUUUAUUAAAGUAAUUUAUGUAAAAUCAAUUUUGUUACUAAUGAGUUACGCUUUAUUCAGCUUGCAGGACGGUCAGUUUGGAGAAUUGCUCUUCCUGUGGUGUGUUGCGGAUUGUUGAUGCUCCACUGGGACCAUUCACUUCCACGCUGCAAAUGGCUGCAUCUCAACGCUGUUUUAUAAGGUUUCAACGUCUGCUCUCCCCAACACAGGAGCUUCCCAUUUUCAAGAAAGAAGAUUUACAUGUUAAUUUAAACUUAUGUCUUUACAAUCAUGGAUUGUUACCUACUACUCUGUAAUUUUAUUUUCAACAUAAAUAGAAGAAAACCUAUUUUCCAUUUAUCCA
Molecule: long non-coding RNA, 1522 nt
Organism: Frankliniella occidentalis (western flower thrips)
Lineage: Eukaryota; Metazoa; Arthropoda; Insecta; Thysanoptera; Thripidae
Exons: 2
Source: RefSeq, a predicted model, not a curated record